CUUCAACUCUCUCCUCAACUGACUAAAUAACUUUAAAGAAGUCAACCCUUCAGAGUUGAAACUUCAAGAGUUUCAAGAGUCAAAAUAUCUGAGUCAAAGCUCUGAAGAACUCCAUUUCCCCAUCUGUGGAACGGCAGCAGUGGAAGACAGAGAAGUGUAGCAUUUCAGCGACAAGAUUCCAGCCUCAAAUUCACUUCCUAGGCAAUCUCUUCGAAUACACAAAUCAGUUACUAGCCCCAUCUGUGCCUUAGUUUCCUCAUUUGUCGAUGGAGAUGAUUGCAGGACUGACCUCACGGGUUGUUCUGAGGAUUAAAUGGGAUACUGCACGUAGAGCCCUUUGCAGGUCCCCAGCACACAGCGAGCUUUAGAUAGCUGGUGGCUAUUUUUGCCCUUGUUAUGUAUCAUUCCAGAGUUGUAUAACUGGCUUGGUCCUGUGGCCUCACCAACUUGACACAACUCCUAGGCUCUGUAUCAAAGGACAUUGCACAGAGGAGACAAUGUCUGGUGGAAGGAGAGUUUAAAGGGCUUCCCUUCUCCCAGUCUCACCUGCCCUGCCUCUAAUGCCUUUCCUGGCUUCAGAAAGAGGAAACAGAUUCCCCAGGGGCUCCGGGCACACAGCUGGGCUCCCAGGUGAGCUGAUCCGUGUGGGAUGAGUGUGCGGCUCUAACCUGAUGUGGUCUGCUGAAUAGCACAGUCAAAUCCUAUUUCCUUUCCAUUUAGUGAAGUGGAUCGAAAUAAUGCAGGCGUAACCUUUUCCCACUUUCCGUGCCAGCAUUCAUUCAGAGAGGGUUUUGUCAUUGUUACUGAUGUUGCUGUUUUUGUUUUAUUGUGAUUCUUCAGGUUAGAAUGUAUUUAUUUUGUAGUAUUUCUUUAAAAUUUUUGAAAUUAUGGUGAAAUAUAAGGAACAUAAAAUUUACCAUUGGAACCAUUUUUAAGUGUACAGUUCAAUGGUGUUAAGCACGUUCACAUUGUUGGGUAACCAUCACCACCACCCAUCUCCAGAAAGCUCUUCAUCUUGUAAAAGCAAAACUCCAUUAAACAGUAACUCCCCA
This 1052-nucleotide long non-coding RNA is filed under the name Homo sapiens (human). Its description in RNAcentral is "HSALNT0178389". Lineage: Eukaryota; Metazoa; Chordata; Mammalia; Primates; Hominidae. The record is from RNAcentral.